Molecule: unclassified non-coding RNA, 248 nt
Filed under: Clitocybe sp.
Lineage: Eukaryota; Fungi; Basidiomycota; Agaricomycetes; Agaricales; Clitocybaceae
Also listed under: 1 other name
Description: partial contains 5.8S ribosomal RNA, internal transcribed spacer 2, and large subunit ribosomal RNA
Rfam family: 5.8S ribosomal RNA (bases 1-52)
Source: RNAcentral
AACGCACAUUGCGCCCCUUGGUAUUCCGAGGGGCAUGCCUGUUCGAGCGUCAUUUCACCAAUCAAGCCACGCUUGGUCUUGGGAGUUGGCCUCCGUCCGACGGAGGCCCCCCCGAAAUGCAUCGGCGAGGAAACCGACCCCCGGCGUGUUAGAUUUCUGAACGUCAGGUGCACCGGUAGACUCGGCCGUACAAUCUUUUUUUUUACAAGGUUGACCUCGGAUCAGGUAGGAAUACCCGCUGAACUUAA